GCUGACGAGUGGCGCACGGGUGCGUAACGCGUAUACAAUCUACCUUUUGCUGAGGGAUAGCCCAGAGAAAUUUGGAUUAAUACCUCAUGGUAUUAUUGAUAGGCAUCUAUUAAUAAUUAAAGGUUACGGCAAAAGAUGAGUAUGCGUCCCAUUAGCUAGUUGGUGAAGUAACGGUUCACCAAGGCAACGAUGGGUAGGGGUCCUGAGAGGGAGAUCCCCCACACUGGUACUGAGACACGGACCAGACUCC
This 250-nucleotide ribosomal RNA is filed under the name uncultured Flavobacteriaceae bacterium. RNAcentral's name for it is "partial 16S ribosomal RNA". It matches the Rfam family "Bacterial small subunit ribosomal RNA", at positions 87 to 339 of the family's 1533-position model. The record is from RNAcentral. Lineage: Bacteria; Pseudomonadati; Bacteroidota; Flavobacteriia; Flavobacteriales; Flavobacteriaceae.